AUGGUACCCAAAGUCCAGCGACAUCCGAAGCUGUAUCUUGCUCGCGAACUUGCCCUCCUUCUUCUCGCCGUCGUCGCUGGGGCGCGCAAGGCUGUACCAGCGCGGCUCCACGGGCUUGCCGAAGUGGUCAUGGCGCGGCAUUGCGGCGUUGAGGGGCAGCAUAAUGCGCCCGAGCGGCUCGUCGCGGCCCGGCCCGACGCGGUCCUCCACGGUGACGAGCAAGGGCUCGUCGAAGGGCUCCGACGCGACAAACAUGAACUCCUCGUUCCACAUCGGGUUGGGCGUCCCCGGCGGCCCGCCCGGGCGCGUGCGCCGCACCUGCCCGGCGAGCUGCAGCUUGACGGAGGCGUUCAUGGGGCGCGACGUGUCGUGGGGCACGAGGUCCUGCGCCCCGAUGGCGGCGACGCGGAGGUACACGAGCUUGGGCGAGAAGUAUACCUUGGCGCGCGUGGAGGCGACGGCCGACGGACCAGCCGCCCCAUGCGCAUCGGAAUGCCAAGCCUCCGGAAACGCCUCAUCGGCCUGGGUCCCGAGCCACACCGACAGCAUGAUCUCGCCGCGGUGGAGCUUCUCCCCACGCUUGCCGUCGAGCCUGUACCACUGGGGCGCCAGCGGGGAGUCCGGCGGCACGCGGACCGGGACCUCGGAGAGAUCGAACCCUAUGCGGCCGACCAUGUCGUCGCCGCCGGCGAGAUCCUUGGCCUUGACGGCGACCUCGAGCAGAUGCGACUGGAGGUGCGUGGCGGAGAAGGCGAAGACCUGGUGCCAGGAAGGGCUAUGGUGGCCGGCGAGGACGGCGGUGGUGCCCUUGAAGUUGCCGAGCUUGACCUCGACGAAGGGGUCGAUGGAGCCGGUGGGGGAGACGGCGGGGAGGUCCCGCGCCUUGACGACGUGCACGUAGAGGAAGCGCAUCGGCUCGACGAGGUCGUAGGUGGAGGAGAUCUUGCCCGCGGCGUUGGCGGCGGCGGCGGAGGGGUUGAGGCCCGGGAUGUUGAAGCGGGGCCGCAGCAU
RNAcentral lists this ribosomal RNA (1011 nucleotides) under Triticum aestivum (bread wheat). RNAcentral describes it as "partial small subunit ribosomal RNA". Lineage: Eukaryota; Viridiplantae; Streptophyta; Magnoliopsida; Poales; Poaceae. The record is from RNAcentral.